Long non-coding RNA from Oreochromis niloticus (Nile tilapia), 2012 nucleotides. The record is from Ensembl. Lineage: Eukaryota; Metazoa; Chordata; Actinopteri; Cichliformes; Cichlidae.
AUGCCGAACUUAGUGCGGACACCCGAUCGGCAUAGUCCGCUGCAGCUCAGAGCUCCUGAGCUCAAACGAUCCGCCAGGAGCACCAUAUCGAUGCCGAACUUAGUGCGGACACCCGAUCGGCAUAGUCCGCUACAGCUCAGAGCUCCUGAGCUCAAACGAUCCGCCAGCCUCAGCCUCCCGGUAGCUUGGAUUACAGGCGCGCGCCACCGCACCCGGCGAGAAGUGCUGUCGUUUAUGCAGGCUUUAAGGUGUCUACACGUGACGUCAUCUGGAAACAGUGCAGAAAGCCGUUAACAACAUUAUUUUUCAGCAAUAAUGACCUGACAUUAGUGACAGUAAAAACGUGACAGGUUAACACGCUUAACCCUACAUAAAGUGUUUUGUUGUUGAGUUUGUGUUCUCCCUCACAACGUCAUUCAGUUACUGAAGAAUAAACCUGUAAUUAUGGAAAGUUUUUUUUGUUUUUUUAGUGGAAACUGCUGAAAAACAGCUUAUGAGUCAUAUACAGUGCUUCAUGGUCAAAGCUGUCUCUAGUGUUACUGUUGGUUCGGUAAGCAAUACCAUUUUUAUAAUAAAGGUGAAAGAUCACACACAUUCAUGGCGUGAUAAUAAUGCUUUUAAUAGGGGAAUCUAUCAGUCAUCUGGGAGCCUGUGGUAGAGUGCACAUUUGGGGUUUGUUGUGUAAUUUUGUUGAGAUGACUGUGCAGGAAGAAGACCCAGAUGAAACAGGUAGAGAUUCAAAACACACGCAAUGUCAUUGUGAUUCUGAUGUUACUCUUUUAAGGGCAUACAUUUACACACACAAUCCAUACAUGUAAUCCUCUCCAUGCCUCGCUCUGAUGACAUUACUUAUGUGACAAGUCUUUUUUGUAUAUCUGAUACAGGUAGUGACUUCACUGCCUUCCCAUGUAAUAAACUUUACUAUACGUACAAGACAAAAAGAGGGAAAAUUCCUUCAGAGAGGUCUCAAGUUGUAACAUGUGGCAAUGCGAUGGCCUGCUUGCCUGACUGGCCUGUAAGUUAUCUUUCUGUACUGCAGAAACAAAAGAGCAGGCCAUCACAAUAUCUGGAAACUCCCUGGUUUGGUGUUCUUCCUCCUUCAGUUGAAACGUGAAUAAUAGACUGACCCAUCUGUGAGUCUGAAGCCCACCUAUGCAUGAAGAACACACACCAUAAAAUUAGUGAUUGCAGCUCUGUUUCUAGGUGUCUUCUCCCUGCCUGUCUUUGCUGGCUGAUGUCUCAGUCAUGGGACAAUCCAGUCUGUCCCACUCUUUCUGUUUGUUACAAAGCCCCAGCUCUAAACUGGACAAGGACAUUCUUGUUUAUUAAGAGCAGAAGAAAGUGCUAGUUUGUGUGAAAUUUGGAUAAUUAAGUGAACUGUUAGCAUUUUUCACAUUCAGCAUACUUGGAAGGAAGCUCGUGGGAUGGUGAAUGCAGGGCUUGAACUCGAUCUCUGAAAUGUUCACAUGGAAGGAAUUAAUGUGGGCUCCGAAUUCACCUGAGCUGGAUGUUCAGGAGAAGGUUUGGACCAAGGUUUGUGGUCGAAACAGAGUGUAAAUGCUGAGGCUGUGAUUUCUGUGCAACACACUACAGGAUGUUUCAGUGUUUUUAUGUUAAAUCAUAGAAAUACGCAAAAAUCAACACAUACAAGUAAAAGUGUGCAGAGCUCCUCCUUUCUCUCUGAUCAUGGAGUUGUCUUCAGACCUCAGUCCUAGAGAGAAUUUGUGGAGGGAGCUGAAGCUUUGAGUUUCGAAGCAGCAGCCAAGAAACCAAAAUGAUUCUGAGUCUCUCUGAAGAAGAGUGGUCCAAAAUCCCUCCUGAGAUGUGGCCAAACCUGGUGACCAACUACAAGAAAUGUCUUACUGCUUGGCGCUGUUGGCGCUUGCCAACAAAGAUUUCGCCACCAACUCAUGUUCUGCUUUGGGGAUCAAAUACUUAGUUCACUCAGUGACAUGCAGACCAAUUUAUAACAUUCAUGUCAUCUUUUUUCUUGGAAGUUUGGUUGAUAUUCU